Bombus terrestris (buff-tailed bumblebee) is the source of this 646-nucleotide long non-coding RNA. RefSeq lists it as uncharacterized. NCBI's taxonomy places the organism in Eukaryota, Metazoa, Arthropoda, Insecta, Hymenoptera, Apidae. The record is from RefSeq and is a predicted model, not a curated record. The transcript has 3 exons.
UUUCUACUCUUAGAGAAUCCGGUACAUCUUUGAUCAUAUAUUUUAAUUGGUAUUGGAUGAGAACUCCAUUAACUUCCUGUGGAGCAUUCCAUUUAACGAUGUAUUCACUAUAACUACCAGAAAAAAACACGGAUACAGCUGGUAAAAGCAAACAUUGUGGUGUGAUAUGCAUUCUUCAAGCAUGUGCCCGGGGUAAUUUCAAAAAGGAGGUGGAUAUUUCGUGACGACUUGUCGUUAGAAUCUUACUGUCUGGAUAUUGAGAGAACUUAAAACGGCGAUCAGAUUGGCGAACUCUGACUACAUUGUAGCCAGCUGCCCAGCGGACAACUCUGUUUUUCAGUCUGCUUUCUAAUCCUUCUGCCCCAUAAAAAAUACGUCAUUUAUUAUAAAUAUAAAGAAACAUCGUUCGACUAAUAAAAUAAAACAAAAACCAGGUAUAACUGGAUGCUUCACCAGCGUCGUUGGAUGCAAGACAUUGGAACAUUCCUGAGUCAUCCAUGGUUAAUUUUUUAAUUGUUAAGGAGCCAUCUUCUUCCAGUGCGUACCUAUACAUAAAAGUGCAGAAGAAUAUAGAAAUAGGAAGAUAGGAGAAUUUUGAAUUUGAUAGAUGAUUUCAGUUAAAAUACACACUUUAGGUAGCAAUUAA